AGUGAACGCUGGCGGUAGGCCUAACACAUGCAAGUCGAGCGGCAGCACAGUAAGAGCUUGCUCUUACGGGUGGCGAGUGGCGGACGGGUGAGGAAUACAUCGGCAUCUACUUUUUCGUGGGGGAUAACGUAGGGAAACUUACGAUACUACCGCAUACGACGUACGGGUGAAAUCAGUGGAGAUUCGCACCUUUCCCGUCUCAAUUAGACGAUGUCGCAUUAGCUAGUUGGGGGGGUAAAGGCUCACCAAGGCGACGAUCCGUAGCUGGUCUGAGAGGAUGAUCAGCCACACUGGAACUGAGACACGGUCCAGACUCCUACGGGAGGCAGCAGUGGGGAAUAUUGGACAAUGGGCGCAAGCCUGACGGAGCCAUACCGCGUGGGUGAUGAAGGCCUUCGGGUCGUAAAGCUCUUUUAUUAGGAAAGAACAGCAGUAUGAGAAACUAUGCCUGUUUUGACGGUACCUAAUGAGAAAGCCCCGGCUAACUACGUG
This 492-nucleotide ribosomal RNA is filed under the name uncultured bacterium. RNAcentral's name for it is "partial 16S ribosomal RNA". It matches the Rfam family "Bacterial small subunit ribosomal RNA", at positions 29 to 507 of the family's 1533-position model. The record is from RNAcentral.